CCGGCGAAGCUGGCCCGCAACUCAACUCGUCGAAAACUUAUCGUUUACUGUGUUACGUGCAUGUGUAUAAGUAUUAGUGAAACCACGUUUGACAGAUGUUUUGUUUACAUGAAACGUCUUCUUUUCGAUAGUGCCAGAAAUCCUUUCCCCUAAAUUCGUCAACGGUUUUUUUUUUGCGUUUUCAACGACGAGACAAAGUGUAUUUUAGGUAUUUUACAGUUGGAGUUUCUGAUGAACGGGUUGUUGCUGAUUGAAUUAUAUGCUAAAAUAUGUCCGCGAACAUUGCAGAACCAAUUGUGUGACCGAGGAAGAAAUGGAGGAAAGAAUGUGUGGCUGAUGUGGCCAAAAAGAGGCGUACGGUAGUGCCGUCGGAAAGAUCCGGAUGGGGAUAUUAUGAAGGAUCUCAGACCGUACGUGAAGCGACUUCUCCAAACUCAUGAAAAGCAAUUGCAAUGUGGUAAGGAAGAAUGUCACACUCGACCGAACGGCAAAUAAUACACACCGAGCUCCGGUGCAGGUCGAGAAUGCGAUCCCGGGUGAUGUCGUUCCGAAGCGAAAGUAGUCCUGCAGUCUGGCGCAUACAAGCGCAGAUCUAGGACUAGAAGCCGUCCGUAUGAUCGGUCCAGCGCAGUUCGCCGUACAAUCUGAACAAAUCGAUAGCAGGCAAGAUCGAUGAUUUAUAAACAAAAAUAAUCCAGGCCAUCUGUACAUCCAGCUGUACGCCCCUUCUCAUAAACUUAGCCUAUCGUAUUAUUAUAUCCACAACAGAUCCGGUGUGAUGAUCUAUGCUGCUACUGACCAAAUAGCUAAAAUUUAGAAUCUGCCACGACAUUCUGGAACUAGCAGAACCCCCAUAAACACGUAACACUGUGUAAAGGUCUGCACAAGGUAGAACGCAACACCAUGCUGAUGGUCGGUUGGAUGGAUACCCAAACGUCGAUGCCGAUGUACUUCUAAAGAAAAAAAGCAUCCGUUUUGACCACGCUUGAUAUGAUUAAACACUCCCAGACGCUGUGGACAAUGUGCUCCAAUUCUGCGGCUAUCCCGCUUUGGUAGUGUCCCAAUUCUGCACCAUCAUUGGUUCUGAAUGGAAUAUUAUCAAUCGGCCAGAUGUGCGAUCACGUCCUUUCGGUAAACUUGCUGCUAAUUCACAGUUUGCCGAAGAACUUUUGUUGGCAUUUGUGUAUAAUCGGGGAUACAUGCCUGCUAACGGAAAACCGGAUAACUUCCAAGGAUCAAUAGCAUCAAUGAUCAGCAAUAGAGAUAACCAUCACUACUGGCAAAGAUAUCGAAGGAGAGUUUCUACAGGACCGUUCGUAUUACGAUGGAUUCGACGGUUCCGCCGAAACAGACAAUCCACUGGUAGUCGGAGUAGUACCGCAGGGAAACCCAAACAGACACGAGAAGAGCGGGAAUUAUUUUAUUUAAAGUACAUACGAGCAUUUCGGUCAGCAUCAAUUUGGGAAGACAUACAGUAAAAAUAAAACAGUUCCAAUAAACUAUCCUUUCAAUUUUAUUGUUCGUUGUACGAAACGGAAAUUACACAUCUUUUACAUUCAAAAAAUAUUUAUUAUAUCUAUAAUUCCCUCAUUAUAAUAUUUAAUCUUUGUUUCUAUAGGUUAGGCAGGGACUGUUAUUUUUGACAGUUCACACUAUUUAUUACUCAGUCAAUUUUAUACCUACCAAUUGUUUAUUUUUUGUGAUGGCUGGAUGAUGUACGUGGCCGGGUCGUUAAAAUUUAAGGUGAUCCAUCUUGCCCCGCGGUCGUUUAUAUAGGAAACUAUAUGGAAUGUAUCGCAUAAGAAAUAUUACCAAAACAUAUUUUUUUGUUUUAUGAUCAAUUAGAGUGAAUAAUUUUUCAAUAAAUACCCCUAACUUCCUUAGAUUUAUGCUAGUCGCCUAACAUAAUUAUCAACAUAAAUAACACAGCGUAACAAAAAUUUGCUUUUUGUCUGUCUCAAGAGCAAACUUAUGUGUCUCCGAAGGAUUUUGGGCCGCUGAAUCCGAAUCCGGGCUCAGAUUUGCUCUCACACGUCACAAUUUUGAGCUAUACCUCAAUUUAUAGGGCAAAAUAUGCGAUUUUGGGCUUUUUUGACAGCAAGCCAUUAAGCAAGGAAAUAUUUUUUUUAUGCAAUCAAAAGGUUAAUUGGUCAAUUAACAUCUAAAUUAACGGCUCAUGCAAAAUAUUUCGUUUUUCCUAAUCAAAUUUGAUAGUUUUAAGCGAUUUAUGUUAGGUACGAUAUUUCCCAUACAAGUCACCCUCCAAAAGUUGCAUGCAAGUUUUCAUACUAACAUAAAAUGUUAAAAUCUAUCAAAUUUGAUAAGGUAAAACGAAAUAUUUUGCAUGAGUCGUUAAUUUAGAUGUUAAUUGACCAAUUAACCUUUUGAUUGCUUAAAAAAAUAUUACCUUGCUUAAUGGCUUGCUGUAAAAAAAACCAAAAUUGCAUACAGUAGACGUUCGAUAACUGCAACAUGUUUACGUUUCACUUACCGAAUAAAAUUCGAUAACUGCAACAACUGACAGACGUCAAAGAAAUGUCAGUUGCUGAAAUAUGCAGCAAACUGCAUUCGGAAAACAUCGCAUUGCAGCAAAAGUGCAUACGAAAAACAUCGCAUGGCUGUUAACAUUUCAUC
Molecule: long non-coding RNA, 2634 nt
Organism: Aedes albopictus (Asian tiger mosquito)
Lineage: Eukaryota; Metazoa; Arthropoda; Insecta; Diptera; Culicidae
Exons: 4
Source: RefSeq, a predicted model, not a curated record